Molecule: long non-coding RNA, 576 nt
Filed under: Nicotiana benthamiana
Lineage: Eukaryota; Viridiplantae; Streptophyta; Magnoliopsida; Solanales; Solanaceae
Description: long non-coding RNA (NBEN_LNC013893)
Source: RNAcentral
GAAUUAUAACCGACACUAAUUGAAAGAGUGCUCUUUUCAUAUACCUUUCUUACAAAUAUCAGAGGAACGCUAAUAAAUUAGUCAGAGGUUUACAAAAAUGAGAUGUUUGGAGAAGUUAUUGUAAGCACUAUCUUAGUGCUUCUACGCAACAAAAUUACUUAUCAAAAGAGAACAUUGUAACUAUAUCGAAAACACAAAACAUGCCAAGGAUUAGGAGGCAUAGCUCUUCAAAAGGAAUGUUGAAAGAGAAGGAAGCAGAAAAUCCAGGUUAGCUAUUUCCAAGGCAAUCUAACGAGAUAAGAGAAACUACAGAUGAGGAAGUACUUCAGUUAACCCCCACUCAGCCUCUUAAAUGAUCUUUUCCCAUUAUAUGCAUCUGCUUUCCCUGAACCGAACAAUCAUGACUACCACCCUGGUAAAAUAGUUUAAGAGGCGGUUUGAUCAUUUAAGCUGAGAUUUCACACCUUAACUUCUGACUUUCGUAAUGUCUUAAUCAUGAAACGAUCAUCUUGAUACAUAUGCAGCUGCUUUCCCUGAACUGAACAACCAUGACUACCACCCUGGUAAAAUAGUUUA